GGGGCUAAACCAUGCACCGAAGCUGCGGCAGCGACACUGUGUGUUGUUGGGUAGGGGAGCGUUCUGUAAGCCUGCGAAGGUGGCCUGUGAGGGUUGCUGGAGGUAUCAGAAGUGCGAAUGCUGACAUAAGUAACGAUAAAGCGGGUGAAAAGCCCGCUCGCCGGAAGACCAAGGGUUCCUGUCCAACGUUAAUCGGGGCAGGGUGAGUCGACCCCUAAGGCGAGGCCGAAAGGCGUAGUCGAUGGGAAACGGGUUAAUAUUCCCGUACUUGGUGUUACUGCGAAGGGGGGACGGAGAAGGCUAUGUUGGCCGGGCGACGGUUGUCCCGGUUUAAGCGUGUAGGUGUGUGUUCCAGGUAAAUCCGGUUCACUUUAACACUGAGGCGUGACGACGAGGCACUACGGUGCUGAAGCAACAAAUGCCCUGCUUCCAGGAAAAGCCUCUAAGCAUCAGGUAACAUCAAAUCGUACCCCAAACCGACACAGGUGGUCAGGUAGAGAAUACCAAGGCGCUUGAGAGAACUCGGGUGAAGGAACUAGGCAAAAUGGUGCCGUAACUUCGGGAGAAGGCACGCUGACACGUAGGUGAAGUGAUUUACUCAUGGAGCUGAAGUCAGUCGAAGAUACCAGCUGGCUGCAACUGUUUAUUAAAAACACAGCACUGUGCAAACACGAAAGUGGACGUAUACGGUGUGACGCCUGCCCGGUGCCGGAAGGUUAAUUGAUGGGGUCAGCGCAAGCGAAGCUCCUGAUCGAAGCCCCGGUAAACGGCGGCCGUAACUAUAACGGUCCUAAGGUAGCGAAAUUCCUUGUCGGGUAAGUUCCGACCUGCACGAAUGGCGUAAUGAUGGCCAGGCUGUCUCCACCCGAGACUCAGUGAAAUUGAACUCGCUGUGAAGAUGCAGUGUACCCGCGGCAAGACGGAAAGACCCCGUGAACCUUUACUAUAGCUUGACACUGAACAUUGAGCCUUGAUGUGUAGGAUAGGUGGGAGGCUUUGAAGUGUGGACGCCAGUCUGCAUGGAGCCGACCUUGAAAUACCACCCUUUAAUGUUUGAUGUUCUAACGUGGACCCGUUACCCGGGUUGCGGACAGUGUCUGGUGGGUAGUUUGACUGGGGCGGUCUCCUCCUAAAGAGUAACGGAGGAGCACGAAGGUUGGCUAAUCCUGGUCGGACAUCAGGAGGUUAGUGCAAUGGCAUAAGCCAGCUUGACUGCGAGCGUGACGGCGCGAGCAGGUGCGAAAGCAGGUCAUAGUGAUCCGGUGGUUCUGAAUGGAAGGGCCAUCGCUCAACGGAUAAAAGGUACUCCGGGGAUAACAGGCUGAUACCGCCCAAGAGUUCAUAUCGACGGCGGUGUUUGGCACCUCGAUGUCGGCUCAUCACAUCCUGGGGCUGAAGUAGGUCCCAAGGGUAUGGCUGUUCGCCAUUUAAAGUGGUACGCGAGCUGGGUUUAGAACGUCGUGAGACAGUUCGGUCCCUAUCUGCCGUGGGCGCUGGAGAACUGAGGGGGGCUGCUCCUAGUACGAGAGGACCGGAGUGGACGCAUCACUGGUGUUCGGGUUGUCAUGCCAAUGGCACUGCCCGGUAGCUAAAUGCGGAAGAGAUAAGUGCUGAAAGCAUCUAAGCACGAAACUUGCCCCGAG
Molecule: ribosomal RNA, 1643 nt
Filed under: Salmonella enterica
Lineage: Bacteria; Pseudomonadati; Pseudomonadota; Gammaproteobacteria; Enterobacterales; Enterobacteriaceae
Description: partial 23S ribosomal RNA
Rfam family: Bacterial large subunit ribosomal RNA
Source: RNAcentral